Molecule: ribosomal RNA, 882 nt
Filed under: uncultured bacterium
Lineage: Bacteria
Description: bacterial SSU rRNA
Rfam family: Bacterial small subunit ribosomal RNA
Source: RNAcentral
UNGGAAUUACUGGGCGUAAAGCGAGCGCAGACGGUUACUUAAGCNGGAUGUGAAAUCCCCGGGCUCAACCUGGGAACUGCGUUNUGAACUGGGUAGCUAGAGUAUGUCAGAGGGGGGUAGAAUUCCACGUGUAGCAGUGAAAUGCGUAGAGAUGUGGAGGAAUACCGAUGGCGAAGGCAGCCCCCUGGGAUAAUACUGACGUUCAUGCUCGAAAGCGUGGGUAGCAAACAGGAUUAGAUACCCUGGUAGUCCACGCCCUAAACGAUGUCGAUUAGCUGUUGGGCAGCUUGACUGCUUAGUAGCGUAGCUAACGCGUGAAAUCGACCGCCUGGGGAGUACGGUCGCAAGAUUAAAACUCAAAGGAAUUGACGGGGACCCGCACAAGCGGUGGAUGAUGUGGAUUAAUUCGAUGCAACGCGAAGAACCUUACCUGGUCUUGACAUGUACGGAACCUUCCAGAGACGGAAGGGUGCCUUCGGGAGCCGUAACACAGGUGCUGCAUGGCUGUCGUCAGCUCGUGUCGUGAGAUGUUGGGUUAAGUCCCGCAACGAGCGCAACCCUUGUCAUUAGUUGCCAUCAUUCAGUUGGGCACUCUAAUGAGACUGCCGGUGACAAACCGGAGGAAGGUGGGGAUGACGUCAAGUCCUCAUGGCCCUUAUGACCAGGGCUUCACACGUCAUACAAUGGUCGGUACAAAGGGUAGCCAAGCCGCGAGGCGGAGCCAAUCUCAUAAAACCGAUCGUAGUCCGGAUUGCACUCUGCAACUCGAGUGCAUGAAGUCGGAAUCGCUAGUAAUCGCAGGUCAGCAUACUGCGGUGAAUACGUUCCCGGGUCUUGUACACACCGCCCGUCACACCAUGGGAGUGGGGGAUACCAGAAGUA